GGUUUCGUGGUGUAGUUGGUUAUCACACCAGUCUAACACACUGGUGGUCCCCGGUUCGAGCCCGGGCGAAAUCA
This 74-nucleotide transfer RNA is filed under the name Tuber melanosporum (Perigord truffle). RNAcentral's name for it is "tRNA-Val (AAC) (tRNA-Val-AAC-1-1, tRNA-Val-AAC-1-2)". RNAcentral also lists the same sequence under 6 other names. Lineage: Eukaryota; Fungi; Ascomycota; Pezizomycetes; Pezizales; Tuberaceae. The record is from RNAcentral.